This 368-nucleotide ribosomal RNA is filed under the name uncultured organism. RNAcentral's name for it is "bacterial SSU rRNA". It matches the Rfam family "Bacterial small subunit ribosomal RNA", at positions 526 to 896 of the family's 1533-position model. The record is from RNAcentral.
CGUAGGUGGCAAGCGUUGUCCGGAUUUAUUGGGUUUAAAGGGUGCGUAGGCGGCUUUGUAAGUCAGUGGUGAAAUACUCCAGCUCAACUGGAGAGGUGCCAUUGAUACUGCAGAGCUAGAGUACUGAUGAGGUAGGCGGAAUGGACGGUGUAGCGGUGAAAUGCUUAGAUAUCGUCCAGAACACCGAUAGCGAAGGCAGCUUACUAAAGAGUAACUGACGCUGAGGCACGAAAGUGUGGGGAUCAAACAGGAUUAGAUACCCUGGUAGUCCACACUGUAAACGUUGAUCACUAGAUGUUGGCGAUACACUGCCAGCGCUCCAGCAAAAGCGAUAAGUGAUCCACCUGGGGAGUACGCCCGCAAGGGUG